UUUUACAAGGCAUUUGUAUUUUUUGGGUUCUGUUUACUUGAUGGAACUUGGUGAGUUUUAAGCACUGACAGCUUGUCUUUGCUUUUGUUGCCCCUGGAGCAAUUCAGCAGAUCAUUCAAGAAGCAUUUUAAAGCUGAGUUGCAAAGGGGUGCAGGUGAUACUCUCUUGAGGGGAAACAGGGUGCUCAGGUGUUGCAGGGCAUUGAAAGAGGGUGUUGAAAAUAUUCUUGCUGAUGCUGCACCUGGUAGCCCUUGUUAGGUACAUAAUUGUCACAGGUGAAUAAAAUGCAGAUCACUCAAAAGAGAAGCAGCAAUGUGUUCUAUUGAGGUAAAUAAAUAUUUUUGACAGUUUGAUGGAAGCUGGUGAAGUUUGACAGUAAAGUUUAACUCCAGUUGCAGUUCAGGGAGAGCUCCUGGGCCCAUUUUGAUGGCAGUUGAUAGAGUGAGGCAGCUGGGUGCUGGUCAGUAGUGGAGACAAGAUCAAUGUUUGUUUAGUUCUGGUAGCAUUUUCUGUGCUUUGGUUACCCUGAAAUUCUGGGUUUCAGAAGCACCUUCUGACAUAUUUCUCAACCCACCUUCACUCCCAUGUGCAAGCCAGGGCCUUUCCAGCUCCUUGGUUCACACCCAAGAUGUGAGGCUGGCUGCUCCUAAGUCAAGCUGAGAGCGUUCCACUGAUCCACCACAGUGUUCUGUAUCUGGAGAGAGCCCAUUGUUUGGAGCAUCCUAACAGCAGGAAGUGUUUCUGUAUGUGAAUGGGAUUUUUUAUUUUCUUAAUCAGUGCUUUGGUAAAACAAUACACCUAAAGAUAUCUGCAUGCUUCCUAAGUAAUUCAUUUUUCCUUUUUACUUAGUGAGGUUGGAGACAAAGAUAUAAAUCCUGUUGUCCCUUUCUUUCAAUGUUUUUGUCUAUCACUAAAGACAGCCCAGCAUUUUUUUUUUCUUUUCUUUCUAUUCCUUGCACUUUGGCAGGGUUUUUCUCCUCCUAGUCAACCUGGAUGUAGCUCUUCUAGCCCGUAUCAGUCAUCAGCUGCAUAGUCCCAGGGAUGUUUAUGUCUAAUUUGCUGGCUAACACAUCUCUUAAGUCUUUUAUUUUUCCAGUACAUGUUCUUUCUAUGACAAGCAGAAAAAACUUCUAAGUGUGGAAGGCACAAUUUGUACAUGCCAUUAAGCCUAAGAACUGGAAGGUACUGUCAUGAAAAUAAUGCAAUGGAAUUGCCAGGAAUUGCUGUAUAUUAGGUUAUGACAGCUUAGGUUAUGUAUUUUACCAGUACUUGGUGUUUCUCCAGUUUCUGUGACAUUACAGUAUACUUAUUGGUAAAGAUUAUGUACUGUGAAAAUACUCACCUCAUACUAUCUAAUGUUGACUUUUAAUCAACAGCUAAUUUAAGUUCAGCCUUUUUAGUUCCCACUCAGCCAUUUCCACCUUUUUCCACGUAAGCUAAUUCUUCUGUUAAUUGUAACUUUUACUUUCAGCAAUCUCCUGUGACCUCUAGUGUUACUUAAAAUAGAGGAAAACUCAGACAUUUAUUGUAGCUUUUGCCACCCGUACCUUUUUUCCAAGCCAUUUGUCUAGCUGUAUUCUUCUCUGCCUUUAUUUUCUUCUCUAAAAAUACCUAUUGCAAACAAAAAAAAUUUGUAGUAUUUUUUUUUUUUUAAACAGGAAUUUUACAGGAAGGGAAGUAUUUCUUGAAAAGGCAAGACGGCCCUUCCUGUUUUCCUGCAAAAUCAGAUCAAGUCUUUAGUGCAGUCAGACAUACUUCACCAGUUUUUGGACAAUUUAGGAGUGCUUUUUCUUCUGUUAUUUAUUUCCCCCGAUGUAGCUUUAAUAAUUCUGUUGGUCAGUAAUACUUACUUGCAUUACUUAUCCUAGAUAAAUUUCUAAAUCCUUACCAGGGGAAAGGGAGGUGGGAUAGUUAAGUUGCUCCAGCUCACACUCUUCAUUUUUUUAACCUAUUCCUACCUUAUGGUGAAAUCAAUUAAACUGAAGAGCCAAGAGGGGGUUUGCUGCCUCCACAUCAGGCCUGAGUAAUUUUUUUUUUGGCUAGUAAGUAAUAAUGAUCGAUGGCUUGUUUAUUCUGGGGUUUCUGACUUCCAGAUGCAGGAGCUUGUGUGUGAUGAAGGUGUCAUGCUCCAGCAUGUGGCCAGUCUCAUUGUCCAAGUGAGAGCACUCAGCUGCCUGGCUUUGUUUUCGUUGCACCAUCCAUCAGAAAUGCAGUUCUCCCUGCCUUCAUUUUUCCCCUGUGCUUUCUGCUGUGUCACUCUUGAGUUCCUGGAAUUGCAGCCAGUGUUUACUCACUGCCUCUGCUCAGUGUGUUCCUACAGGGAUGUUAAUUGGCUGCCUAAGUGUCCCUGUGGUGCAAGAAAUGCUGCCUCUCUUGCCUCCUCCUCUGCACUAAGGGCACUUAGGAGGCUCAGUCAGCAACCUGGAUGUGCCCAGCUUUUGUAUUACUCAAAUCUGAAUGAAUAAUUUAGAGAGGCUUAACUGAAACAGAUGUUCUGACUCCUUUGUUUCUGUGACAAGCCUUUCUUUCCUCUUUGAUGAAGGGAGUCCUGUUCGGCUGUUGGUUUGUACCAGGGGGGGUUUCAGUGAGCACCUGCCUUGCCAGGUGAAGGGAGUGAAGAGGAAGGUUCGGGUGAGGCUGUCAUCAUCAGGAAUGUUUACUGGGUUGGUUGCCCAAGAGCAGCCUCUUCCAUGUACACAUUGAUUGCCCAGAUGCACAAACCAGGUCAUGGCUGCCAGGAUUAGCAGGCAGCAGUGAGGAGGAAAAACUGAACUAACCACCUUCCUCUGCAGAAGGUCUCCUGCCAGUGUUGCUUUUGUUUCCUUUUACAGCCUUUAAUGAAGUUUUUGCCAGUUCCACAGCCAUCAGGAAAGCCAAUUUCCACCUCAGUGUUCAAUCGUGUCUAUUAAUAGAAGGCACUAAUACUUGAGCACAGCUGGAUGCAGGCACCCUUCCUGGAUUUUUGUGUUCUUAUAUGGUAUUUCUGUUGAUAACAGAUGAAGUUUUGCUGCUUUUUAUGUAGCAGAUUUUUUGCAUUGCUCUUAAUGAGUAAUUAUUUUCUUUUUCUGGCUGGCUGCUGCAGCUUAGAGAAGUGAGAAUCGUCGUUUUAUUUUCGUGGACUAUGGAAGCAGUGCUGGGAGAGCUCAACAGCAGCGGAAAUGCAGUGAGAAUUAUUUCAGAUUUUCAGAGAAAGCUUCUUGACCUUAAUGAUUUAAGAAAUUUCAGACUAGUUACUUUCAGCUGGCAUCCAAAUUAACACUGUUUUAAAGGGGAAUUCACUCUGCUUUCUUAGCCAGCAAACAGGAAAACAAGGAAAAAGAAGAGCCAUCACUAAACAUCUUUGACUGAAAUCCCUACUAUUUUUGCAGCUGAAAAGUUUGUCUGGAUUGUCAUCAAAAGUGACACCUACUGUCAGUGUUUUUUUCUGCUACACACCCUACUUAACUGUCACCAGAUUUUUAUUUUGUGAGCUUUGCAGAGGCACCUUAUUCUAAAGGAAAGCAUUAUUGAGUAGAAGGCAUCUGAAGUCACAGGAUUGGUUGGGAAUGUCCACAGAGGUGCAUAAAUUUAUUCUAAUGUUCCCAGUCAUAUUGUGAAGGUUGCCAAGGCUAUCUCUAAAAUUUGAGAUUAUUCAGAAAAACAACAAUUCAGAUUAUCUGAAGACUUCCUUUUCAAGUUCUCCCUGGGGCAGGUGUGUGUUAUGACAAACAGAUUUACAGAAUUUAUAGGUGUUCUGCACUAGGACUGUGGCAAAUCAUGGGGCUGUUCCUGGAAGUUGCCCUCAGAGCUGUUGGCACCAUGUGAAAAUCAGGAGGACUGUGUUUGUGUGCAGAACAGUGCUGGCUUUUCUUGGUGGCAGAGGCAUGCUAAAAAUAGACUUAAACAUUAAAAAUUGGAAGCUGCUGGAGUACAGAAGGUGCCUCUUGUGUGGAAGAGCUGGCUUUGUGUAGUGGUACAGGAUUUGCAACUUGUAAAGCUGUGCAGUGGUCAAAAUAGCACAAUCCUUUCACAACACAAAUUCUGUACUGCACUCAGAAGUAGGAUAUUUUCUUCAUCAAUCUGCAGGUGUUUUUCCCUUUCUAAUUCCCUUCCAGGGCUGGCUUACUUCUUAUUAUUCCCUCAAGAUAAAGGGCAAUACAGAGGUUAUUAUGAAAAAAUGGCUGAAGGUUUUGUUGUUAGCACAGGGGCUUUUUUUAUUAAAAAAAAAAAAACAAACUCUCCCACACUGCUACAGGUAUUGAAAACUUGAUUAUAUGGCAAAAAAAAAAAUUAAAGAGCAGAUCACUAUUGGUAUUUCAAGAAGCACCUUUGAAUUUCUAAAUUAAUACAGAUUAUUUGGUUUUGUUGUGCUUAAAAAUAGCACUAGGCAGUCAAGUUUUGGUGGCCUUAAGUGCCCUAAAUCAUCUCAAUUGCUUUCAGUUAGUACUCCUAGAGUCUGGGUAAUCAGUCCAAAUUUAGGGACUGUAAGCUCAUAAUAGGGAUAUUACUCUGCUGAGGGGAAAUGAGUGGGUUCCUUCUCUUGACACCGGUGCUGAGAAACCAAAGGGUGGAAGGCCAACACUGCUUUUCCGAUGCUGAAUUUAGCCUCACCCCAGCUUUUGCUGCGUGGCGCUCAGUGCCAGCUGUCCCUGCUGGGGGGACCCUGGUCCAGCCAGCUCCAGAAGUGACCCCAGAAGGAGCAGGAGGGGUUUGCUCGCUGUGGUUCAGCGUGGGAGCCCGAACCUGCCGUCUGGGUGCCCUCCCCGUGCUGCUGGGUGGGGAUUGUGUGGCUCAGCACUCCGGCUUGCCGAGGGCUUGGCUUGGCCGGCAGCCGCCGGAAACCGCAGCCACAGCCCCAAGCGCCGGGCCGAGGAGCAGCCGCGUCCCUGCAGCAAACAGGAGCCACACGUCCACCGCGUCUGGUUGUAAAGCUUUGCCCUUUAGGGAGACACUCCCAGUUUGAAUUCUGGGCAAAGCUCUGCUGCCCUGGAGGUAGUGGCUCUUGGACAGCUGGGAGUGGGGGUAGAGGAGAAACCUCUGUCCCCAGAAAGCAAAGGAACUGUUUUUUCACUGAGUUGGUCUCCAGCCUCUCCACUGUCACCAUUCAUGACCUUUGUUUCCCCUGAGAGGAGGAUGCCUGUGCUCAUUAACGCUCUGGGGCUUUGUCCAGAGUCUCCUCUGCCAGAGGAAGAACCUGGCAGGAAGACCAGGAGGGUGGUGGCCUUCAGCACUCCUUGGGAGCUCCUUAAGGCUCAGAAACCCUGCUGGUUUUAUGGAAGAAGUCAGGUCUGUGCCUGCCUUUAUGCCAUGCUCAGUACAAGUGCUGGAACCAACUAGAAAAUGCACAUUUUUGAUCCCCAGGAGAGAAGCCUCUGUGAGGCAGGAUAAAACCUCACCAAGGUGGAGAUACCAUAUUUUUUAAUUGAACCAUAAUGCAGUUAUUCCUCCAGAGCAUGCUGAAGGCUCUCCUGAAGUGAUUUGAGUUGAAGCCAGUGCUGAAGCAAGAAGUGCCACAAUCUGCCUCUUUUUAAGUGGGAAUAAUAAAACAGUGUUGAAAUUUUCUAACAUGAUCGAAGAAUGAAGCCUAACAACACAAUCCCACCACCCCUGGUUAUGCCGUUUUGUUGCCCUUAGAUGAUAUUUUAACAGCAAAGUUCUGUUGAGAUCCCUUGACUUGGUGGUUUUUAUUCUCCUGUGUUUUCCAUUCAUUUUGGUAGCCAUGUGUGGGUCAGUUCAUACAGGCAUUCAUGAAUAAUAUUUUCUCUCUAUUUUCUCUGCACUCUGGGAGUGAAAAACAAUUUCCAGUUCUGAGUGCUGUUCAUGUUGGAUAUUGCCUGGCUUGAUUGUUGCAGUAGAAGUAAUCAAGUUCAUAACCUCGGAGACCUUUAGCCUCAAGAUGAAGUUGUCUUUUACGUAACUUCAGUGUCUUUUUAAAACCCCCUUUAGAGAAUACUGGAUCUGUUUGUGACUCCCUGGUUCUGUUUGUUACUCCUCCUCUGCAUCCCAGCCCUGCUGAGCAGGGUGUUGUGUGACACUGCAGACCAAGUGACACAAAUCCUAGCUGAGCUCAGCAGCGCCACGUGGCCUGUGGCUGGCACCUAAUCUCUUGUUUUCCUGGUGUUUACUUACCAGCCUGCAGUUUGCUGCUGCAGAUAACUGUGGAACGUUCUGGUGUUUGAAACAGCACGCAGAAAAUGGAAACAGUUUGGCUGGAGAAGUUGCGGCCAAAUUCUAAAUGUUCACAUGAGGUGAAACUGAAAAGAGGAUUUUCGAGCUGCCCAGAGAAAAAGGAGAGCUUGGCUGCAGUGACCGGCUCAUACAUUACUGUAAUCCUGUCCUGUGCAGAGUGGGAACCUGAGAAGAGGCUUGACAGGACUGGGGCACUGCUUCUAAUAUCGGAAUAUGACUGAAUGAAAGUGAAAUUUCAGUGCGUGCCAGAUUGUAAAAUUUACUGUCACAGAAACAGGACGUUCCCGAGAGGAGGUAAUUCAAGAGCACGCUUUAAGGAGAAAUAAGAAUGGGGAGUUUAAAGCUGAUUGUUGAUUAGUGUAAAAGAAGCAAGGAUUGUGCAGCCUGUGAUACUGUUUGCAGACACACAGGAUGUGAAGGCAGCAGACAAAGUCUGUUACCCUGCUUGGAAUGCGCUGACUUUGUUUCCAGAUCUCUUCCAAUACUGUGGAAGGACAUUAAAUAGAAAUUGCCUUUGUAUAUAGUAAAGCCUUUAAAGCAGUAAGCCAAGCUGCAUACCGGAGCCUUGGCCACAAACUGAACUGAGUAUGUAAAGGUUCUUGCUGUGUAGAUACUGUGUAUAACCUGUGAUCAGUUAACAAACUCUUUCCUUCUGCUUCCAAAAGAAGAAAACAGGCACAGUGCUUGUCGCCAUCAGCUGAGGGAUACUCAUAAAUUUUUGCACAACCCUAACUUCCUGCAUGUAAGUGAGCAGAAACUGAAGUGUUGGAAGUUAAAGAAAGAGUUGAAUAGUACAAAAAUUGCUUAAAGUGAAUGGUCAUUCCCUGGCCUCAGCUGUGUUUUGUUCCAGCAUAAAGCUGUUUCAGAGUCUCAAGAGUUGCUGAAAUAAAAAAACAAACAUGCCACUAUUGAACCUUAUUAAACCUUGGACUUGAAUUAGGUUGCUGCAAUCCAGAUGUCUUCAAACAGACAUCUCACCUAAAGGUGGUUUGUCAGUUUCUACGAGGUGUGAAGCCUUGUUCUACACCGUGGUAAAUGUAAUUCUGAUCUUACUGAUUUGCUUGAUAACAUUUCGUUUAGUGUGACCAAAUUCAAAUGCCAGUAGGUUGUGUCUAAAAACACUGCUUCAAAACCUGCUGCGUUAAAUUUGAGUGGUGUGGCUAACCAGCUCUGGCUGAUGCAUAAAACUCAGUAGUGAGGUCUGGAAGAGUUUCAUCUCUGUGCCAGAACGGCAGAAAUUUUAUUCCAGUGUUCGAAGUAGAAGAAGCCGGUAAGAGUGAGUGGCUCAAUGUUUCCAUGAUCAUCAAUAAAUUUAGCAGCUCCUGAGGCUGUAAAAGAGUCUUUACAAGCUAAUCAGCAUCACAAUCUCCUGGUUCAAACCAGUUUCUUAAAAAAAUCAUCGUGUUUUUAUUUCAUGAGGAAAUGGCUGUAUUUCCUCUGUGUCUUCUACCAUCUCUCAAUGAUGGUUGAUGUUGCUUCUGGGUACGGAUUAAUGAUUGUUGCAAAUGCUUAUUCUCCAUGGUGAGAAAAUGGCAGAAUAAUGAAAUUUUAGGGUUAUUCUUUUCCACAGUAGUAGCUGCAGGAAUUUGAACUAUAAUGAUAGUAAUAGAUUGUACAUAUUUUUCAGUUGUAUUCACACCAGCUGAGUUGAUGAAUGCUAAAAGCACAACGAAGCAUCUCCAGAGACAGGGUUUCUUCUUCUUGUUUUGUUUUGUUUUUUUUCAAAGACAGGUAUUUAAAACCAGGUAUAUUGAUGAAUUGAACUACGGUAGCAUGAGUUUAAAAACCAGCCAAAAUAACAACUUUGGCAAGGAGUUUUAGAUUGAGUUAGAGUAUAGUUAUGCAUAACGUAACUGGAACUGUCCUCCAAGGAUUUUUUUUUUUCCCUCCACCUGCCCUCAGUGGCUGACAGGAGCAGAAGGCCUUUGUUUGUAACAUGCAGUGUUGGUGAGUUUCAGUAAAAUAGGAAUGAAAGGGGAGUUACAGGCGGGCAAAGUCAGCCAUCAGAAAUUGCAGCGUAAAUCAUUUAGAAAUCGUUCUCAUCACUUCUACAGAGAAACCCAUCACAACAGGGCAGCACAAAUACCCCAGUGUCUGAGUAAUACACAGGUACUGACUAGAAACCUGCAUCCUGCUCUUCCAUUUCAUUAGGUUCUUAAUAUUAAGCCUCCAAAAAAUUAACUGGGAGACUGAAAUCUUCAAAAGAAUAUAAUUUUCUUGGUUGUUGUGGGUAUUCUUAUCCUUCUCUUUAAAAGUUGUUGCUUUUCUUAAAAAUGUAAUAGCAGAACUGCAUGUAAGAGCAGCAGUUGCAAAAUAGCAGAGUAUUUCCAAAAUUACUUGGGAUGGAAAAUGACAUAGGAGCACUCAAAGUUGUAAUUUUUGAACUUGGCUACUAUAGAUACUGUAACAAUAAAAGGUAUUUAAA
Corvus hawaiiensis (hawaiian crow) is the source of this 8593-nucleotide long non-coding RNA. RefSeq lists it as uncharacterized. The transcript has 2 exons. Lineage: Eukaryota; Metazoa; Chordata; Aves; Passeriformes; Corvidae. The record is from RefSeq and is a predicted model, not a curated record.